AAAGUGUGGGUAUCAAACAGGAUUAGAUACCCUGGUAGUCCACACGGUAAACGAUGAAUACUCGCUGUUUGCGAUAUACGGCAAGCGGCCAAGCGAAGGCGUUAAGUAUUCCACCUGGGGAGUACGCCGGCAACGGUGAAACUCAAAGGAAUUGACGGGGGCCCGCACAAGCGGAGGAACAUGUGGUUUAAUUCGAUGAUACGCGAGGAACCUUACCCGGGCUUAAAUUGCAGAUGAAUUACGGUGAAAGCCGUAAGCCGCAAGGCAUCUGUGAAGGUGCUGCAUGGUUGUCGUCAGCUCGUGCCGUGAGGUGUCGGCUUAAGUGCCAUAACGAGCGCAACCCUUGUUGUCAGUUACUAACAGGUCAUGCUGAGGACUCUGACAAGACUGCCAUCGUAAGAUGUGAGGAAGGUGGGGAUGACGUCAAAUCAGCACGGCCCUUACGUCCGGGGCUACGCACGUGUUACAAUGGGGGGUACAGAGGGCCGCUACCACGCGAGUGGAUGCCAAUCCCAAAAACCUCUCUCAGUUCGGACUGGAGUCUGCAACCCGACUCCACGAAGCUGGAUUCGCUAGUAAUCGCGCAUCAGCCACGGCGCGGUGAAUACGUUCCCGGGCCUUGUACACACCGCCCGUCAAGCCAUGGGAGCCGGGGGUACCUGAAGUGCGUAACCGCGAGGAGCGCCCUAGGGUA
This 694-nucleotide ribosomal RNA is filed under the name uncultured organism. RNAcentral's name for it is "SSU rRNA". It matches the Rfam family "Bacterial small subunit ribosomal RNA", at positions 756 to 1464 of the family's 1533-position model. The record is from RNAcentral.